CAUCACGUUGAAACACCAAAGUUAAGCAACGUCGAGCCUGGUAAGUACCUAGAUGGUUGACCGCUUGGGAAUACCAGGUGUUGCAA
Non-coding RNA from Acanthosepion pharaonis, 86 nucleotides. NCBI's taxonomy places the organism in Eukaryota, Metazoa, Mollusca, Cephalopoda, Sepiida, Sepiidae. The record is from the annotation of a GenBank genome assembly.